Molecule: long non-coding RNA, 1379 nt
Filed under: Capsella rubella
Lineage: Eukaryota; Viridiplantae; Streptophyta; Magnoliopsida; Brassicales; Brassicaceae
Description: long non-coding RNA (CRUB_LNC002695)
Source: RNAcentral
GAGAGGUAACAUGCAAAGAGUGUAUAUGAUCAUAGCUUUGGUUAUCAUCAUCAAGCUAUCAAAAGUUAUAUACACAAGAGGAAAUGAUCUUGCACCUGCUCCAACAUUAGCCUCAGGACCUCAACAAGAGCAAGGACUUAUCCCUAAGCCUCAGGCUUGUCUGCACGACGUGGAAUCAAUUCCAGGUUGUAUAAAAGCAUUGAAACACUUCAAAUUCAAACAGGUCACGAAGAAGUGUUGUAACAUUGUACUCUCUCUUCCCGAAGAUUGUUUCGGGAUUUUAUUCCCUAUGCGUUUUGUCUUUCGUUUUCUUCUUAAGUUGGCUUGUAAAAUACUUAGUCACAUUGGAUAGUUUUUUUUCUGUAUUGUAUAUAUUUAUUUAGUUAGUUUCAGCAAAAAAUUAUAUAACUUAUGAACCAUUUUAUGAGAUGAUUUGUGAAAUAGAAACUUUUAUCUAACUAUGGCUACACAAUAUUGAAAAAAAAAAUCUCUUAUGAAGACUAUUUUUGAGGAAGAAAAAUAAUAAUUAUAAAGAUAGUAGAAUUAAACUGUUUGGAAAAUACGUAGUAUAAAAAAUAAAAAUAAAUAAAUAAAUAGAAAAAUGGUUGAGAAAAAUGUGAGUUUGCCACAUAAACACCAAAAAAUCUCUUUAAAAAUAUAUUAUAUGUGCUUUCAUAUCUACAUAUAGUGAAUCCUAGUAUUAAAUAAACAGGAAAUAAGUUAAUUUCCCUUGAAUAACUAAAGUGUUUUUAAAUCUAAAAGAGAAAUAAAGUUUUUUAUUAUUCAUGUAAAAAUAAUUAAGUUCCCCUAUAUAUAAAAAAAACUUUAAUUAUUUUAAUUAAGUAUUCUUUUAGUAUAUAUUAAUGAGGUGAAAAAUAUUAUCACCAUGUGUACUUAAAUGCAUGAAUAAACACAGAUUGUGUUGACAAAAGAAAAAAAAAACAUAAUGUAGAUUGUGUUUUUGAGAAAAAAAAAGAGAAAAGAAAAACUAUAUAAAAUGCUAACCAAAAAAUCCAACCAUAUAUAGAAGUUUAUUAAUACUAAGGGCAUGUGCAUCAAUGGUAUUUCCCCCAGUCCCUCACGUUAAACGAGAAGAAAAAAAAAACCAUAAAACAUUAAACUUUACCAUCGUAUAUUACUAUUAGCGGACCCCACUGACACGUGGUGGCUCUUGAAUGAUUAUCGUUUUUUUUUUUUUUAAUUUAAAAUAAAGAAAAAAAAAUGUUGGUAGGACGUCAAACGGCUGCGCUUGCUCUAAGAAACAAUCAAACAAGGAGCUAAAACAUACAAAUAAUGUUGACUUUGACUAUGAUCUUGCACUCGUACCAUCGAUGGUAAUGGCACCAGGACCAUCGGUGGCAGUGGCACCACGACCAUCG